GGAUGUGGCUCUGGAGAAUCCCAACCAUGGGUGCCGAAGGUGCAAGGUGCAGAAAAUGCGCUAAUCUCUCAGGCAAAAGGACAGAGUGGAUUUU
Butyricicoccus pullicaecorum 1.2 is the source of this 94-nucleotide regulatory RNA element. It matches the Rfam family "Glycine riboswitch aptamer". From Rfam's summary of the family: This family represents the bacterial glycine riboswitch. Glycine riboswitches usually consist of two metabolite-binding aptamers domains with similar structures in tandem. The record is from Rfam. NCBI's taxonomy places the organism in Bacteria, Bacillati, Bacillota, Clostridia, Eubacteriales, Butyricicoccaceae.